RNAcentral lists this ribosomal RNA (495 nucleotides) under uncultured bacterium. RNAcentral describes it as "partial 16S ribosomal RNA". It matches the Rfam family "Bacterial small subunit ribosomal RNA", at positions 28 to 507 of the family's 1533-position model. The record is from RNAcentral.
GACGAACGCUGGCGGCGUGCCUAAUACAUGCAAGUAGGACGCUGAAGGAGGAGCUUGCUUCUCUGGAUGAGUUGCGAACGGGUGAGUAACGCGUAGGUAACCUGCCUGGUAGCGGGGGAUAACUAUUGGAAACGAUAGCUAAUACCGCAUAAUAGUAGAUGUUGCAUGACAUUUGCUUAAAAGGUGCAAUUGCAUCACUACCAGAUGGACCUGCGUUGUAUUAGCUAGUUGGUGGGGUAACGGCUCACCAAGGCGACGAUACAUAGCCGACCUGAGAGGGUGAUCGGCCACACUGGGACUGAGACACGGCCCAGACUCCUACGGGAGGCAGCAGUAGGGAAUCUUCGGCAAUGGACGGAAGUCUGACCGAGCAACGCCGCGUGAGUGAAGAAGGGUUUCGGAUCGUAAAGCUCUGUUGUAAGAGAAGAACGAGUGUGAGAGUGGAAAGUUCACACUGUGACGGUAGCUUACCAGAAAGGGACGGCUAACUACGUG